AAUUGUGAUUUGUUAGAAGAAAUUAUCGAGCUGCAAGGAGUCAUUGCUGAUGAGUCACAGUCAACAUCAGCUGCUCAAUCUAUUGUGGCUGAAACAGUGACGACCAAGUUUGUAUUUCCCAAACUAAUAAACCUGGGAUUGGAUAAGGUGCCAAGAUUGAAAAGUUUCUACUCUAGGAUGCAUACCACCCACUGGCCUUCAUUGAAAAAAAUGGACAUUAUUGAAUGCCCCAAAGUACAGAUAUUUACUCCACAAUGUCCCGGGAGUCAGGUUGGAAUCUCAAACCAACAACCCUUGUUUUGCGUCAAUGAGGUAAGCUCGCGAACAGUUUCAUAUUCCAUGAUCAUUACUUGAGAUUACCUAUAAAAUGCUUUUUGAAAAAACUAAUAUUCUCUCCUCUUUUAAUUUUAUGAGAGUCUAGUUCUUACUAAUUUAAAACUCUUUCAUCGAUGUCUAAUAUAUUCUUUGCCAUCCAGGACACUUUCCCUGUAUUAGAAGAACUAACUCUGAAGACGAAUGAUAUGGGGAAGGGGAUAUGUGAUGGACAACUCUCAUUGCAGUGUUUCCAAAACCUUAAGCAUCUUAACCUCCAAUUCUUUCCCGAGACAUCCACUACUCUUCCGUAUUCCUUCAUUCGGUCACUACCAGUGCUUCAUAAGCUUGUUAUAGACAAUGCUUCCAUUUGUCAAAUAGUACAAUCUGAAGGACUCAGCGACUAGGAAUGGCAUACAUCAGCAUUCUAUCAGCUAAAGGAAUUAAGUUUGUCUCAACUUCCAGAGUUGACGUUAAAGACUUUUGAACCAUCUUUGCUGUCUUUCAAAAAUCUAACAACACUGAAAGUUUCAAGAUGCCAUGGGUUCAUCAAUUUAAUCGCAUGCUCAACAGCUAAGUGCCUGACGCUACUGGAAAGAUUGAUCAUAGAUGAUUGUGAGAUGAUAGAGGAAAUCAUAGCGUGUGAGGCUGAAGAAAUACAAGGCGGCAUUGUAUUUCCCAAACUGAAGUAUUUGCAACUAAGUUGUCUGCCAUGUCUAGCAAUCUUUUCCUUGGCCCAUCACUUGUUGGAAUUCCCAGUCUUGCUAAUGUUGAUGGUGACAAAGUGCCCCCAAAUGAGGAAUUUCUGCCAAGGAGAUUUAAGCACGCCAAGGCUGGAACAAAUGCACUUAACAAGAGAUGAGGAAGGUGAACUGAAGUGGGAAGGCGACCUUAACACUACCAUAAAACAUAUGUUCGAUGAAAUGGUACAAAUCAUUUAAAGGAUUUAAAUUCAUGUGUUUUUACAUACAUACAUACAUAGUUAAUUGAACAAUUCCUGGUUUGUUAUGAUCAUGCACAGAAUGUGCAAAAUUCUGAGGUGACGGAGGUUACUGAUCAGUUGCCCAAUCUGGAAUAAGGAAAUAUGUUUGGGUGCUUAUGCGAAAAGCUCAAUUUCGUUUGAAUUCAAAACAAACGGUAAUUGACUCCUCUAUUUUCAUCAUGGCUUAACUAAUGCUUUAUAAAGUGACCAUAGAGACGCCCUUUUCAUUGUAGGUUGAGUUGCUCUACUGAAGUACGAGGCUGCAACUUUUGGUAAAAUGUGAAAGGUUAUUUCAGUUUUUGUAAAACUACCAUUUGAACUGUUCCAUUUCACAUUAUACCCUCAAAAUUGAACUUCAAGUGCAUCAUGCUUGGCAUUGGGCUACAAACAUGUAAACUUUUACUAGUAAGGUUGACCCCUGUUUUAAGGAUUUGCCAACUUUUGAUGGUUACCAUAUCAAUGUCAGCUUAAAGCUAUCAAGUAUCUUUACAAAUAUAAUAUAUAUAUAUUAUUCCUUAAUGAAGGAUAAAAGUAGGCAGCUAUCUAUUAAUGGUACGGCUGAUUCUGAAAAGACGGCUGAAAUUGAAUCAAUGGGUUGUUGGUAAUUGCCUGAUGGAAGAACAGGGCCUAAUGUUACGUGGAUCCUGAUCAAGUUUUAAAUUUUCAGUUGUAGGCAUUACUGAUUAUUGCCAUUUGGUUGUUGAUCCUCUGAUUUUACGGUUGACUGUCUUGCUUAUACGUUGCAAGGUUGGCGGGUCUCAAGUAUGAAUUUCCAAGCCGGCUGUCAUCCAUAAUUAACUAAGUGUUCCAAUCUGUUGAAAGGUGGUUAGCAUGCAGCAUUGAAGACCACCAUGCAGAAGCAGCAGUUUGCACGAGAAAGCAAGGAUGUUUAGUUUCAUUUGAAUUUUUUUUUUUGUUUAUGUAAUGUAAUCUAGUUCAUUUUGAACUAUGAUAAGAUGAUAUUUGAUGUAAACUUGAUGGUGAUUGAGCUGUUUACCAGCUUUAUUCAUUUGCACAAGUUAUCAUUCCAAUUUACUAGGAAACUUAGUGGUAGUAGGUAUAGUUUUGGUUAACCUACUGUCUUGACAAGCUAGAAGCUUGAUUUAUGUAUUGGCAUUAAGCCUUUUUUUGAUGAAUGAAUUUAAUCAAGUUUUCAUUCAAAAACUCUCACCAUUCUCCUUGCUUUAUUCUUUUUAGUUUUCUGCUUGUUUCUGCUGCAAGUCACGACACUUGCUGCUCAAGCAAUAGGCUGAAACUUGUUGUUAGUUGCUCUCAGCUCCAACAGAAUCCAUGGAGUUUAUGGUUUAUUAGUGUAACUGUCCAUUUGGUUGUGGAUUGGUUCUUAAGGUGUUUUGAUGCUUGUAUGUUACAGUGCCUGCUCCAAGCAACACCCUUUAAUUUCUAAUGAAUUUUAUUUGUUGAGGAAAAAAAUAUGAGGAUUAAUCUGAUAUUUUAUGUUUGGGUUUAUGAAGAUUUUUGUACCUUUAAUGAAAAAAGCAAAUAAAAUAGAGAGGUACAAGAUCACAUCCAUAGAUCAACAAAGGGGUUUAAUAUUUCUAUAAAAAAAGUUGUCCCAAAAAGGCCUUCUAAUGGGAAUUGAAAAAAAAGCUUGUAAAAAUUUACAAAAGGAAUUGAUGAGAAUCUGAUACAGCCAUCACAUGCGACAGCUUUCCCUUAAAAGCAUUCGUGGCUGAGUCUAGUCUUAAUUUUUAUUUGUAUCUUUUAUAUCCGUUUUAUAAUUCAUAUUUAAGAUUUGUAUUAUGCGCUUAAUAUUUCAUUAUUUGUUGUCUAUGAUGCUCAUUCUUGAAAAAAAAAACAAACAAACAAAUGCAAUGCAUGCAUAAACCAUAAAAAAAAUAAAGAACAUAAGCAACUAAUAAUGAAAUAUAUUAAAAUGAAGACCGGUAAUUGAUUUAAGAAUUACCCUAAUUUCGGUAAAUAUAUUAAAACAUGUGUCCCUAAUCUUUUUCAAUUUUGAUAUUGAAAAAAUUGGUAUUCUUAAAAUUAUGAGAGUUAUUCAAUUAUUUUCAUUUUUGAAAUUGAUAAAUUAAGGACAAUUAAUCACAACGUUAAUGUUUUUAUCAAUUAUAUAUGAUUUUCUUGAUAUAAUGAUAAAUUUAGUCCUCAAAGUUUACACAUUCUAUCAAUUUGUUAUUGAUUUAACAAAUUUAACCCACAAUAUUUACACAUUUCGUCAAUUUGAUCAUGAUUUAACAUAUUUAACCCGUAAUAAUUAUACAUUCUAUCAACAUUUACGCAAAAUAUAUAAUCAUCAAGGAUUAAAUUUGUUUUUAUACUAAUCAAAAUUAUGUAUAAUUAACAGAAACUAUUAGCGCUUGAUUAAUUGUUCGUGGUUACUUUCAAAAAAGAUAAGGAUUAAUUUGUUCAAUAUCAAAAAGAUGUUUUUUAUUUUUAUUUUUUAAUUUCAUAGGUAAGAAAAUCUCAAAAAAAAGAAAAUCUUUGAAAUAAAAAAUAGAAUGUUUUAUAUAAUUAUUUGAAGUUACUCUCACGUUAUUUUUACCCAUUCAAAGCUAGCAAGUCUUUAUGUACAAAAUGGUAUAGCUCUGCAAUUUGGAUUAACAUUUUGGUGACCUCCAUGUGAAGUGAAAGAAAAUUGAGAAUGUCACACAAUUAUUAUUUUUGCCUCCAUACCCCUAUGCCACCAAAGAAAGUUGAAUUAUUAAGGCACAAAAGUACUAAGGAGUAGGAGCUAGAAAAAGAGGGGCAUGAAAAUAAAGAGACUUACAUUUAUUAUUUGCAUAAUACAAAAUCAGUCUUUAAUAUUUACAUAUUUUAUUAAUUUGAAUUUUAUUUUUAUUUAGUUAAAUUUAACUUUAAACCCUUUAAAAAAAGUUAAAUUUGAUCAUCAACAUUUUAAAAAGAGUCAAAUUAUUAUUUAACGGAAAUGUUAAAUUUUGAAAUACAUAUAACAAUUCGCGUGUAUUUCAUAUUAUUUUUUUAAAUUUUUUAUAUUUUUUUGAAAUUUUUAUUUUUGAAUAUUGUUAGAAAAAUAUUUGGAACAUUGUUAGUGGAGUUUUUAACCUCCACCAACAAAAUUAAUGGGUUAAUAAGUGUCUUACAGGGAUAUAAUAAAAUAUUAAUAUAUAUAUAUUAAAAUAUAUAUAUAUAUGUUAAUUUUUUUAAAGUUGUGGAAUAAAAAUAAUAUAUUAUUGGCAUACCAAAUACUCACCUUUUUAAUUAAGAUUUAAAAAUAAAAAAUAGUUAGUAAAAUGAAUGGAUUGCAAAUUGAGAAAUUUGAUAUUGAAUAUUAAAAUUUUCUUAAAAAGAAGACAUAUAGCAAGAUAAGAAAGUUAGUGAUUUAUUUGAUUUAAUUUUAAUUUUUAAAUUGAUGCAUUUUAUUAUGAAUUUUUAUUCUUUGUGUAUUUUGUAUAAUUUGUUUGAAAUUUUCAAUUUUCAAUUUCUCACAUGAGUUUGAGAUAUAAAAAAAAUUACUCUUAGGAUUGGUGAAACAGUGGAUACAAGAGUUCAGCUUAUCAUAUAUUGAUGAUUUUGUUCUUCGAAAUAUUGUCUACAGAUAGGAUAUCAGAGUUCUAUUAAUUAGAGUUCCGUUAAAAAGUCGAAAUUUCUAUUUUAGCCUAGGACUCUAGGAGUUCUGUUAUCGAUAUUCUAAUUAUGAUCAUGAUCUAUAAAAAAUAUGAGUAACAUGUGAUACGUAAAUGAAAAUUUUUAUGAUAUGAUAAGUCAUAAAUUAAGUGAAAAUGUAUGAAAGUGUAUGAUUAUAUGAAAGACAAAAAUAAUUAAUUUAAUUUAAUGAUCUGUAAAAUUGAAAAAUGAAAUACAUGAAUUAUAUAAGAGAAUGUUGACGAUCAAUAUGUGGUAUGUAAAUGAGAAGGAAAAAAUUAUAUGACCAAAUACUAAAAUAAAUGAAUAAUGAAAUUAACUAAAUACUUUGUAAGUUCAAUAAUUUAAAAAAUUGUUAUUUUUCCCAUUCAAAGUUGAAAAGUCUUUUAUGUGAAAAAUAGUGUAGCUCUUCAAUUUGGGUAUAACAUUUUGGUCUUCUCCAUGUGAUGUGGAGGAAAAUUGACAACAUCACACAAUCAAAUCCAUUUUUUCUGCCAUACCCUUGUGCCUCCGAAGAAAGUUAAAUUAUUAAGGCACAAAAGUACCAAGGAGUAGAAGCUACCAAAAGAGGAGCAUGAAAAUAAAGAGAGAUACAUAUAUUACUGGCAUGAAAUAUUUACAUUUUUUAUUAAUUUGGAACUUCUUGCCUUUUACUACUAGCUUGAUUUGUAUCAUCGCUCUCACCUUUUUGAGCUUGUAUCUGAUAGUGAAACCAAAGAUUAGUGAAAGCCUUCGCACCAAAACUGAGUUCUAGGAACUGCAAUAGGAUCAAUUUCAACAACUCUAAUGGGAUAUUAAACAUUCCCAACUCUUAAGAUCACCAUCUCAUCAAUUUUACACAAUUAAAAUGAAUGUUUCCCUUCACAAAAGGUUUAGGAUGAGCAGCACCAUCGUCCACACUAAUAAAACUUCCCCAGUGAUUGGCGAUGUUUUUAAAUGUAGAGAUCGGACAAGCAUGGAUCGGAACCCCUAAAGUUGUUCUAUAAUUAACCAAAAUGUUUUCAGACCAUGACUCAACUUUUGUGAACCACCUCAUCGAAAUUUCAAUAAACUCUUUUAUAACCUUCUCCACCGUUAAACUCCAUUAGCAACUUGGAGGCCACCCUCUUCUAACCGCAGAGCAAGGUUCUCAAGAGUACAUAAAUCUCUACACCAUCCCAUAAUACAAAUUGUAGCUUAGAAAGUUUUUCUUCCUCGAUAAUCCCAUCUAUAGGAAUUGACUCUAUCUCUUUCUUACCUGUAGCCACCUCCUCCAUGAAACAAUUCUUGUUUAUAGCUUUUUCACCUCCGAGGGUUCCACUCGUAUCUAGAGAAUCCUUUGAUACCUCCAGAGCCUUUGAAGCGUGCAAAGUUGACCCAUAUUCUAUGUCCAAAUAAAUGGAACCGUUCAGACGAAGCGUCGCCCUUCUUGCAUCAGUAAAGUUUGCGAAUCUCACAAAACCAAAUCUUUCUCCUUUUUAUGAAGACAUCCAUAACCCUGCCGUGAUACUCGAAUAUCUUCCAAAGACCUGUCCAUUGCAUUCGUGGAGGACGAUUCACUACAAAAACAGUAACACAACUCUGUCCAGUGUCCACCACCCAACCCAUUACUCAUUAAUAAAACUCCUACUUCAUCACUUAACUAAAGCUUUCUUUUUGAUAUUUUUAUAUAUUUUAAUUUUGUUUUGUAUUCAAAUAAUUUGAUAAUUAACUUUUAACAAUUAUCCCAUAGUUUUUACUAUAAAUUUAAGGAAGACAAUCUUGAUAAAAUUAGUUUGAGGUAGGAACAGUUUAUUGGAACAGCGUAGUCUUUUAUAGGAUUAAAAAUAUUAAUGCAAGAAAUAAAAAACAAGUGAUUAAAGGUUUAGAACAAGCAAUCAAACUUAUUUUAUGUUAAAAUUUUCGAACAAUAUGAAAAUAUAUAAUUUUAAUUGUUCUUUUACCAAUUAAAUUGAUUUUUGACAGGUUUAACUAUUGACUUAAAAAAGAGUGUUAAUUUGAAUGGUUAAAUGUAAUGAUGCAUGGUUUGUCUGACAUCGUCACAUGGAAAAUGGGAUUAAAAAUGGAAAUUAAGCAAAGGCAAAAUGAAUAUAUUUAUUGUUUUCUAAUUUGGUGUAGGGUGCCAUAUUUGUUGAUAGCCACUCACUAAUACAUUAUAAAUGGAAUAAUUGCCUAUUUUACCUUUUUCAUGAAAUUUAUUGACAUCACCAGCUCAUUUUUCAACCACAUUACUCAAAUGAUUGACAGAGAGAGGUAAAAGUAAUUUAUAAAUGUAUUUCUUUUUUUUCGAGUAUAAUUUGUAUUUAUUUCUAGCCAUUUUUAUAAAGUUAUUGUUUAAAAAAGGGGUAAUUAUCAAAUUCAUAUAUGAUUUGGAUCCAAUGUACAAUUUGAUACAAACUACAAUUUGGUGUAAUUAUACACAUAAACUUGAAUUGUGAUUCAUAUGAGCACAUGAAACUUUGAUUUUGAUUCAAUUGUAUGCAUUUAAUGAAUGUAUACGUUUAAAAAAAAUGAAUAUUUACAUUUAUUUUCAUAUUUGAUUAUAUACAGGGGCGAAACCAGAAAAUUCUUUUAGGGGGCUGAAAUUAAAUUGUAAUUUUUACGAUAGCAAAAAUGUAAUUUCACCAUUUUAAUGGCCUAUAUCUUUAUAAUUUUUAAAUGAUUAAAUCAAAUUUUAUAUUUUUAGCGGAGCAAAGUACAAUUUUACCUUUACUAAUUUAAAAUUUUAAAAGGCCUAAAUAGAAAAUUCACCAUUUCAAGGGGACUGAGACUAGAGGUGAUCAUGGGUUGGGCCCACCCGAAAAAUAGGAGGGUCCAAGUAAAAAUAUAGACCCAAAAUAUGGGUUUCGGCAAAAAAAGAAGCCCGUUUAAAAAACGGGCCGGGCUCGGGUAAAAAUUUUUUGGCCUAGGCCCAACCCGACCCGGCCCGAAUUAUAUAUUAAAUAUAUAUAGUUUUUAUUUUUAAUCAAAUAUGUAUUAAAUAUAUACUUUUUUGGUGUUGUACAAUUUGAUAUGGGUUGGGCUCGGGCUUAGCAAUUUUCUUUUGGGCCGAGCUUGGAUAAAUUUUUAGGCCCAUAUUUUGGGCCCAGCCAAGCCCGAGCCUAAAAAAUGGGCCUAAAAUUUUGUCUGGGCCCUGCUCAGCCCAUGAUCACCUCUAACUGGAACCCCUGUCAGCCCCUUAGUUUCGCCCCAAAUUAUAUAAUAGUUUGUAUAUGCAAUAUAUCAACGUAAAAUUGUGCUAAUUCAAUAAUAUUGUUAGUGAUUUCUGAAAAUUGAAUCAAAUCAAUAUUUCAUAUAUAAAAUUGUACAAAAUCAAAGUUCAUAUACAACAUAAAUAAAUAAAUAAAAAGUUCAUAUAGAACAAUAUACAUUAAAUCAAAAUUUAUAUAUAAUUUUGAUAUUUAUCUCAUUCUUUAUUAAUUAUAACGUGUGAACGAGGUGAAUCCAAAUUUUGUCAUUUAUUUUCCUACCAUCUUUGCGAAAUAAAUUUCAACUUAAGAAGGAAAAAAUAAUUAACAUUUUCAAAUUCUAUCAAGAUAGACAUGUUCAUAGGUCAGACUCUCGGCUUAGGUUCAAAAGUUCACUAAAAUUUUGGGAGGGUUUGGAUAAAAAUAUCAUACCCAAAGAAUGGACUCGAGCAAAAAAAAAAGACCUGUUUAAAAUAUGGGUCGGGCUCGGGCUUGAAUAUUUAAGGCUAGACCCGUUUUAAGUUUAUAAUUUUUUAUAUUAUGUUAUUUUUUAUAUAUUAUGUAAUUUAGAACACAAUAAAAAAUAAACAUAUAGUAAAUAUAUAAUAUAACUCUAAUGUAAACAUUAAAAUAAUAUUAAAAUGACUAUAUAAAAAAUUUCAAUAAAUAAAAAUGUAUAAAUAUUAAAAUAAUAUAAUAUAAAUACUUUUUAAAAAAAUUAAAAAAUAAUAUAAGCGAACCUAAAAUGGGUUUAGAUUAGUUUUUUGUAAAUAUGGGAGUGUUUUGACAAAAUUUUAGGCCUAAAUUUCAAACCGGACCGAACUUAAACAAAUAUAAAAUAUCUUAAUAUCAUGCUUAAACCAACCUAUGAACACUUCUACAUAAAAAUAAUAUAGACGAAUUGAUGUCGUUUAGUUCCACAAGGUCAAACUUCAAAUUAAUACGAGUGUAUUAUUAAAAGUUUUCGUCCUCGCAUUACUUGUAAUUAGUUUAUGUCUUUUAAUUCAUUGAGAAGUAACAAGCAUGUAUGGAUGUCCAUUGUACAGGCCCAUUUUGACCUAAUCCAUUACAACCCAUAACCCAAGCAAAAACAAAACCUACCCAGGCCCAACUAAGCCUAACCCACCAAAACCAAAGCCCAAAUCAGCAACCCAAUUCAGCCCAAUCUACCUAACCCUAGCCAAUUUGUAGAAAAAAGAAACAGCAGCCACCCUAGGUGCGCCGCACCUAGGGCCUUCGUCCACCUACCCCCUGCCACCGCCUCUGACCAGCGCCGCACCUGCUCUCUGCCAUCGCCCAACUGCACCUGCAAGAAGAGAAACCAACACGCAACAACAAAUAGUAGACAUAGAUAAAAAAAAUGUUAAAAUCGGCUAUAAAAGCCGAAACCAGAGGAAUGUAAAGGGUUCGGCCCCUCUUUGACGAUUAAAAGAAAUAAAAGUUUUUUGAAAAUCUUAAAGGUGACUACUACCUUUUUAGAUCUGUUUUUUUUUGUUCUUUUAAAUAUUAUUUUUGUUUUUAAAUACAAACAAAUUAAAAAUAAGAAUAAAGGAGAAGGCUUUUUACCUUACCUGCGCCGCGACGGAGGUGGAGGAAGGCGAACGGUUUCGCCCCAUUUUUUGGGUCUUCGGCUUUCUAUUCAGGAGAUUCAGCCCCGGAUCUGUGGCCUGGAGGCCAUGGACUUCAAAAAAGGACGAAAAAGGUCCGAUUUUGAACCUCCGGCGGCCACACACGGUGGCUCUGCGGCGGAGACUCGUCGGAAAUCUCGAGCCGGACCAUGGCCGGACCUGAGAGAAAAAGAGAGAGUUUUCUCUCUGUUUUUUUAAAAAGAAGAUGAAACUGUUUCUUUUAGCUUUUUUUAGUAUUUAUAUUAAACGUGAAACGACGCCGUUUUAGCAAAAGGAUCCGCGCGUCGACCCGACCCGACCCGGAGGAUCCGCGUGUUUUCAGUUUUUGGGAUAUUUCGCGUGCAGUCCCCCUGAUUUUGCAGCGUAUUACAAUUUUAUCCUUUUGUUAUUUUCUCUUAUUUUUAAUUUAGCCCCUGCAAUUUUAUUUUUAUUUCGACUUGGUCCAUUUCAACGCUGCGUUUUGGGGCUGUGGUUUAUUUGCAGUUUUGGCCCUUUCCUUUUCAGCGCGCGUUGCAAUUCGGUCCUUCUUGUUUUUUUAUUUCAAAUUUGCCUAGUAUAUUUGUUUUUAUUUUGAUUUAGUCCCUUUUUAGCAAUCUUAUUUAUUUUGAUUAAUUAUUUUAAUGUAUUAUCAUUUAUUAUUAUUAUUGUUGCAUUUAUUAUUCUGAUUAUCAUUUACCCAUUCGCAUCGUUUUUGGAUUUGGUUAUACAUACAUACUUAUAUAUAUUUUUAUAUUUUAUAACUUAUAUACAUAUAUCUAUAUUUAUAUUCUUUACCUUCACAAAUAUAUGUAUACGUACCUAUAUAUAUAUAUUAUUUUAUAUAUAUACAUCCUUUUACAUUUUUAGGUUUUUAUAUUUUGUUCAUUAUUUAUUUAUUUAUUUACAAUUUUGUUAUUAUUUUAAAAGAAUGCUUUAACUUUAUUUGCUUAUAUAUUCAUUUUGUAUGCUAUUGAUUUGUCUUUUUUUAUUUAUCUUAUCUUUGAUGCUAUUGCUCGUGUUAUUUUACUUGCAUUAUCAUCAUCAUUUCAUUAUACCCAUUUUUAUUUAGAUUUCGAAAAAGAAAUUUUAGAAAUAAGUAAUAUUCGGUAUUUUGGAUCUUCGAGAGAAUCGAGCCCUAACGUAUUGGGUUCCGACUUUCUUCGUUGAACUUAAAUAAUUGAGAUUAUUCUUUUAAAAAUGAUAAAAAGCUCGUUACCGAGAAUUCAAUAUGUUGUGUCCUAACGCAUUGGAUGUGACACGUUAUUUUUUCGAAACGAGAAUUUUUCUAAAUAAAUGUAAUAUUCAAUGUUUAAUAUUUUGAGAAAUUGUGCCCUAACGUAUUGGGUUGCGAUUUCUUCAUUUGAUUUAAACAAUUGAAUAUUCUUUUAAACUUUAUUACACGAAUUUUUUCAAACUCAAGUUAAACGAUAUCGGGAAUUAAAAAAAGGAUCGUGUCCUAACUUACUGGUCGCGAUAUCUUUUUUUAAUCCAAGAUAGUUAAAUAUCUUUUAAAUAAGCAUUUUUCAUUCGCGUAUCGGGAAUUCGAGACAUUGUGUCCUAACUUAUUAGAUAUGAUUCUCUUUCUCGAAUAGCGUGAAAUAUGCCCCUUUUUCAGAAAUUUUUCAACGUUUUAAUACAAGGAUCGUAUUUUUAAAAUUCUUCAAAGUUCUCAAUUUUCGACAUUAAGACAUUAAGUAGUCAAUUAGGUACCAAUUUUGGGCGUAUCGAGGGUGCUAAUCCUUCCUCGUGCGUAACCGACUCCCGAACCCGUUUUUCUGAAUUUCGUGGACCAAACUUGUUGUUUUAAUAAAAUCAAACCGUUUAUUAAAAACAACUAAUUUUAAGGUGAUCCAAUCACACCUCAUAAAAAAGGAUUGGUAGCGACUCCCGUUUCUUUUUUCAAAACCCAAGUCGACCCCGUUUUCCAUCCAAAAAAUGGUGUCAACAUCCAUCUUCUACCAUAGUUGUCUUCUAAAGAACUUUAUAAAGGGAAGCUAUGCCACUCUAUUUAAGGGUUGGUUUUGGAGAUUAAAGUGUAAUUUUAUCAUCAUAUUAACUUAAGUUUUUUUUUUAAAUUUAAAAACGUGUAAAUGGUAAAUUUACUAUUUUUGGAAGGUCAAGGCUAUUGCUUCCCCUUAUCUUUGCCCUGCUAGUAGUUGACUAACACGGUCUCAUACAGUAAUACUCUUAUCGAAUAUAAAGCCUUGUUUAAAUGGAGAUAUUUAUAAGAGGAAAAAUACUAAAUAAUGCAAGCUCGCCCAUGCCUGGUCACUGUGAGCCCCUUUGUGAGGAAGCACCUGAUCUUCUCUCGAAGUUACGAGGUUAUUUUGUCAAGUUCUUUAGAGAGAGUUGUCUCACACCCCUAGGUAUUCUCUACCUACCCACUUGUGUCGGUUUUGGGUACACGUACCCUUUUGAUGAAGGUCGUUCAAGCUUUUCCUGGAAGUAUAAUUUUUACUUCCACUUACAAUUUCAUAAAAUAAUAAUUUAUCAAAUCAAAAUUAUUCAAAUACAAAUUCAAAAUAUUUGAAUCAAAAUUAAAUUGGAGCUCCUCACUCAGGCUUCUACUUUUGUGCAUUGAUAAUUCAGUGGCAGCACUUCCCCCUUGCCUUAAUUGUUGAAAAUUGAAUAAAAAUUGUACCUUUCAUUUCCUUCCCUCAGACAAGUUGUUCAUUGUUGCUCCCACUCUUCAGUCUUCUCUAAAAUAAUGUAGGAAUCCCAAGUCACUAUAAUUAGGUGAUGAGGAUGGUACUUACUUUUUUUCCAAUAUCAGGGUAUUUAUCGUUAAUAAUAGUGAUUGAUUUUUUUUGUUGCGAAUUUGUACAAGAGCUUAUGUAAGAGUUUAAUAUAGUUCAAUGAUUAUUUUAUAAUUUUUUAAAGUUAAAUAAUCAAAAUAGAAAUUAAUUAACAAUUUAGCUAGAGAGCUUACACGUAGUUUACCCAAAAACAUAUCGACAUGAUCCCCCAUUGGAGUCCGAAGCCAAAGCUCACAAAUUGGGUUAACAUUUGACAUUUGGGGUUUCAAAUUGAGAAUUAAUUGAAAUAGAUAACAAUUAGCAAUUAAUUGAGAAUAAACAAAUUAUAUUCCAUAUAGUGUAGUAUUGAAUAUAUGUUUACUUCAUUAAAGGUCUCUUUUUUAUUCAAUUAAUUUCUCCAACUCAAAUUUAGCAACUUAUUAUGGUACUAUGAGAUUAUAAGAAUGGUUUUUGGAAGUAAAUCAGUGAGUGAAGUUGUAAAAUUACUGAUUUUCGAUUUAAUUACUUUAAUCAUUGGUCUAGUUUCAAUUAAAAAAUUUAUUCAUGAUUUAGCCUAUAAAUUAUAUAUAUUCUCUCACUUUAGUCUAGUUUAGACUUGCCUAUGGCCCUGCUCGAAUGUCCACCUGAAAAGCGAGAUGAUUUAGGUAAAUAUAUAUGCCCAAAAAGUUGGUCUGGAUAAAAAAAUAAUGCUCGUUUUCUAAACGGAUUGGGUCUCAGGUAAGCUUUUCUUGCUCAACCUGGCCCGAAUUUGCAAAAAAAAAAACUAUUGUUGUUUUUUUUACUAUUUUAUCAUUGUUUUUCUAUCAUUUCGUUAUUAUAUUGCUACUAUUUUAUUAUUAUUGUUUGAAUAAUGCAUAACUCUUGUUUUAUUACUAAUUUUGCUACUAUUUUAGGGAUAUUUACUUUUUAAGUUACACUUAUCUCAGUGUUAUAUAUUUAAGUAUUUUUUUUUAAUUUUCAUUUGUUCGGAAACAUUUAUUUCAAAUUUUUUAGUGUAUUUGAUGAAUUAUUUUUUAAAAUUUAUUUUUAUAUUAAAAAUAUAAAAAAUUAAUAUGGGCAGACUAGGCUUUUAACAUUUUAAUCUAAGUUGGGCUUGGAUAAAAUUUUAAGCCUAUUUUUCGAGCUGAACCGAGCUCAGGCCUAGAAAUUAGGCCUAAAUUUUUUACUUGGCCCUAUCAACCCAUGGACAACCCCAGUCUAGUUUCAGUUGGGAAUGAGAAUUACUACUAUUUUGUUGUUAUUAAAUUGUUAAACCAUUGUUUUUUUUUUUUGGUGCCACUUCAAAAAGCCAUUGGGCCUUAGUCAAGACGAGGUAACAUAGAAUAGUUCAGGGUCCUAACUGGAAAAUAUCCCACAUUGAUUAUUGUGAUGUAGAAAGUGGAAAAUAUGUAACGAGCGUCAUUGGAAAGAUGUAUGUCAAACUAGUGGAGCCAUAAAUUGGUAGUUUUCUAAGGUUGGUUUCAAAAUGAAGGGGGAGCUCCCAAGUCAAAAUAAAAUUGUUUAGUAUUUUUUAGUGUUUCCCUUUUAGACAGGUUAAAUUGUGUAUUUAUAUGUAGGGGUGUUCAUUCGGUUAACCGAUCGGUUAAUCGAAUCGAACUUUUUUAAAAAAAAUUAACCGAACGAAAUUUUUUCGGUUAAUUCGGUCGGUUAAUCGAAAAUUAUAUGUUUUUUUAUUUUUGGUUAAAAAUUAACCGAAUUAACCGAAUUAACCGAAUUCCCGAAUUACCCGAAUUAACCUAAUUGAAUCAUACAUAAUUAAAUUAUUUUUAGACUUUAAUACUUUAGUUUUAGUUUUAGUUUUAGAAUUUGUUUUUAUUUAUUAAAUUAUUUGUAAAUUUUAUGAUUGGGUUGGUUUGGGUAAUUGGGUUGGAUUGAAUACUUGGAUUUGGAUUGGGUUUAGGUGAAUAGUGGACCUAUUUAUAUAUUAAUAAUUUUAUUUAUUAAUUUUUUCGGUUAACCGACCGGUUUCGAACCGAAUUAACCGUUAACUGAAAAUUCAUAAAAAAAUUAACCGACCCCCGACCGAAAAAAUUCGGUUAACCGACCGAUUACCGAAUUUUUUCGGUUUUACCCGAAUUAUGCACACCCCUAUUUAUAUGAUAUGAUUACUGUUCACAGAUAUGAUAUCGUAGGUAGGUUCCCAUGCAAAUCAACGUAUACCCUACUUUAGGUUAACAUGUAUUUAUAUGAGGUGGAUUUACAUAGUGCAAACCCACAUCAUGCUGUCUCGUAGAAGGUUGCAAACACCUUACAUGCGAACUCAAAGUGCGAACUGUAAUGGAUCAGUAAUAGUGAAUAUCAUAACAAAAGUAAAUUAAAAUAUUUAAUUCCUUCCAAAUAUUAAUUUCAAUAAUUAUUCAACUCCUAUUAUUUUAUCCUUUUGUAUAUUGAAUUCCUCUAAGCAAAGAAAAUAUCCAAAUUAAAAUUUUUAAUUUUUUUAGACAUAAUAUCAAAUUUAACCUUCAACGUUUACAUUUUUUUGUCAAUUUGGCAAUUAUUCUUUUUUGAGCUAAAUUUGACCCUUAAUCUUUCAAAAAAGAGUCAAAUAUUUUUUUAUGAAAUCUUUUUUUAAUGAAAACAUUAAUAAAAACAUUAAUUUUUUUAACAAUAAUGGUGUGGCAACCCGCAUGGUAGUCCACGUAUACUUCCAUACUAGUAUGACACUAUUUGUAUUAUAUGUCAUGUCAACAAAUAAUUUUAAAAAAGUAUUUAAAAUUCAAAAAAUUAUAAAAAGCUCAUAAUAUGUAAAAUAAAAAAGCAUGAAGUACAUAUAGAUUGUCAUUCAAACUAUCAUAUUUGAAAAUUUAAUGUUAUAAUCGAAAUUUUUUUUAAAAAAAUAACAAUUUAACUCUUUUAAAAUAUUAAUGGUUAAAUUUAACUUUUUAAAAAAAAUUGAAAGUCAAAUUUAGCUCAAAAAAUAAAGAUUAAACUGACAAAAAAUAUAAAUGUUAAAAGGUUAAAUUUCAAAUUAUAUCAUUAUUUUAUUAAACAAACCUUAUUAAAAAUGUAUUUAAAUUUUAUAAAUCUUAUUAAAAUAAUAUUAAUAAUUAUUCAACUCCUCCACACAAAGAAGCAUCCAAAUUAAAAAUAUAUAUUUAAUUCCUUUCAAAUAUUAAUUUGUUCAACUUCUUAAAUUAAGUAAUUAAUCAAUUUUCGUUUUAAACAAAAAACCGGAUAGGAAAACCAUCAUUUUCUCGGGAAACAAACAGAGAAAGCUGCAAACUUUCCAAAUAUAUACCUUACUCGAAAAUCUGCCACGUCUUAUCCUUGAUAUGAUGGUUUCUAACAUUGCCACUUGGCAAGUUAUUCAGUAACAAUGCCAAUCUGCCACCAUUAUGCUUUUCCUUGCAGUACAAAAUUCCAGGAUGCCUUUACUUCUUUUGCCUCUUGGAUCAGCAUUUACUAUCACCAAAAUCAAAAUCCCAACUUUGAAAAAAAAAAAGUUUAAUUUUUAUCCUUUUUUUAAAAAAAUUUAACAAUUUUUUAUUUUCCAUUGUCAACCUUGUAAAAUUCUUUUAUAUUUUUAUGUUUUUAGUGGGAUUUUUACAUUUGUUCCAAAUUAUCAGUUUGUCAAGUUCUUCAUGCUUUCCAUGUCCCAAAGGAUCACAUUUUAUUUAAGAAAUAGAAAAAGACAUUAUUUUUGUUCUUCAUGCAACUUAUAAGUUAUAGAGAAUGAAUUUCUUUGAUUUUAGCAACUAAUAUUAUGAUUCCAACAUUUAGGGUUUUAUAUGUUUUUUUUUCUGUAUGAAUUUGAACUUGAGUUAGCCAUAAAAACCCCACCUUUAAUCUCAAUAUAUGAACUUGGCUUUGCUUCUUAUGGUUAUUAUUGUUUAAUUUAAUUAAUGUCUUGAAAGGGUAUUCUAGUUUAAUUUAAUUAACUAGUCCAUUUAUUUUGAUUGAUAAUGAUGUUGCAGGUGCUUAAUCUUUCCAUUGAAAUGGAGAAAAUCAACUACCAGGACGAGCUGAAGAAAGAGCGUAGGCUUGUUCGGAGUCUCGUAUACGAGAUCGGUUACAGGAAGGAACAGGUGUCCGAAAUGGAACAUAAAUAUGACAAGACAACCACGGCUUUUCAAGAACUCGUUGAUGGCCUUGUAGCGAAAAUUGACUCCAAGGACAGUAGUUUGCGGGAUUGGGAGCUUCGAUAUAAGGAAAUGGGGAAAUGGUACAUAAAUAUGAUGAGACGACCGCAGCUCUUCAAGGACUCGUCGAUGGCCUUGUAGAGAAAAUUGACUCCAAGGACAGUAGUUUACGGGAUUGGGAGCUUCGAUAUAACGAAACCGUGAGACAAUUGAAGGGCGAGAACGCGGUGUUUCACCUUGUGUUUGCUAAAGGUAUACUUUAGAUUAUAUAUUGCAUACAUAGCGAGCAGAAGACUAUGCAUUAAUCCAAUCGUGUACGAUGAACAACAUGUCGUUUUCGAAGUUCCAAGGUUUGCAUUUAGAGCUUUGAUUGAUCUUUAGGCUAUUUUACACAUCUAGUUGCUUAGUAUUAGAUUCGGUGAAGAAGUUGCAACUUUAGGAUAGUGAAGGAGACAUAAAUGUCAGGAUUCGAACCCCAAACUCUGCUUUUAUAUCUGUUAUCACGGGAACCGGAUGAACUUAUGGAAACGAGGCUUGGAACCUAAAAGGAAGCAUAUAUAUUUGAGAUAUUCCGAUUUUCUUCCUGUUGCUAAUGCUUCUAUCAUACACAUUAGGAUUAUGUGAUCUUAUAUAUAUACACACGCAUAUAUACGAGAUACUGAUGAAUUUCUGCCUCCUGUUAUUGCUUAUAUCAUAUGCUUUAUGGACUGUUGCUUUACAUUUUUUAUGCAGAAAUUCAGAAGGAAAGGGAUGAAAAUCUUAAGCUGAAGUGCCAACCUGGCUUUCGAACCAAGUUGGUCGAAGAUUAUAUAUCUCGUAAUGAUAACGAUAUGGAACGAAGUAGCUUGUUGAAUGAAAUGGAAGGGGUUAGCAUACUCAUCUUAAUUUUGGUUUUCGAUAUAUGAACUAUCUUUUGUCGAGUUUGUACCUUUGUGUAAAUGAAUCCUGUUAUCAUGUUUAGGUUCAACGUUUUUAAUGGUUAUGAUUUGCCGAGUAGACUUUUAACAAUUCGGAUUAUAUCUGAUAUAGCCGAAAGAGAAUGUGGCUUGCCAAAAUCUUAUUGAACUCGAGAAAACUACAAGCGAGCAGAUUACUGCUCUAAAGAAAGAGUUGGAGGAAAAAUCAGAAGCGUUGAAAGAUAUGGAAAACCGAAACAGUUGUCUAACGGUGAAACAAGUCCUAACUAAUCAAGAGCUGCAAGAUGUUCGAAAAGAAUCCAUACGUGUAUUUUUCAUGUUUUCCUUUGCUUCCUCCUAUGUUUCCUCUUCGAAAUCGGGUUUAAACUUGAAAGUGUUAAACCCAAGACUUCUCUGGUUUUUGAUGUGCAGGGUUUGAACGAUUUUCUGAAUAACCAGACUAAUCUUAAGAGUGAAAAGAACGGGAGAGAUUGAUCAAAAAGCAUUCAAAGUUGCUUGCUCGUUGAAGUUCCAGGACGAAGAUUGGCGAGAACCGUGUGCUAAAACAUGUUCAUUAUGUUGUUCCAAUAGGGUCGGAAGCGUGUAAAUUAUUGUACUAAAAAAUCACAAAAAGUUCAAUUCCCAGGGAAGAGAGGUGGAUCACAUGGAUCUCUUAAAUACCAAGUCUUUUCUUAGACAGAAUAUCCCUUCUAUAGUAAUUUAAUAGCACAAUUAAAUACUACUAUUAUACCCUCAAAUAUUGAAAGAAAAAUAGGACAAGAAAGAACACAAGAGAUUUAACGAGGUUCGGUAAAUUAUACCUACGUCCUCGGGCACUAACACCAGAUGAUAACUUUACUAUCCCCAAAGUAUUACAAACAAAUAGAAUUCCUUAAGAAUUCUCAAAUGGGAGAAGAGAGAAAACUAAGAGAGAAAGAUUGGUUGGGAUGAAUUGAAAUGAGAAAUGAGAAGGCCUAUUUAUAGUUGAGGUUCAAGGACCAAACAAUAAAUAGCACAUUAUCUCAAGGACCAAAAAAAAAUUAUCCCUUGCCACUUUUCCAAAGUUGGUGGUUGUCAUUAUUGAUUGUCUCCCAUUAAUGUUAAUGGCAACCAUUAUUAAUUGUCUAUCAUUAAUGUUAACAAUCUCCACCUUGAAGAUUUGAUUAGGAUAAUCACAUCUUCACACACUUCCUUCAACUCCCUAAAUUCGAUAAAGCUAUCUUUUGUAGUGCCUACAAAUGCGCUCUCGAGCGCCAUACACCUGAAGGUGCUCAAAUUCUCAGGAUGUUAAUCAAGUUCAAACAAUGAUUAAACUUGAUUGUUGUUACCACCUUGGUCAUCAUAUCUGCGGGAUUAUCUGCUGUCGGAAUCUUCUAAAGUAGAAUUUUUCCUUUUUCAAAGACUUCUCGCACAAAGUGAUAUCUUACGUCAAUAUGCUUGGUUCUUGAAUGAUAGACUUGAUUUUUCGCUAAAUGAAUAGCGCUCUGACUGUCACAAUAUAAACUUAUGUGACUUUGAACAACUCCUAAGUCUUUCAACAAUCCAUUAAGCCAAAUAGCCUCCUUAACAGCUUCUGUAACUGCCAUAUAUUCUGCCUCUAUAGUAGAUACAGCUACUGUAGACUGUAAGGUAGACUUCCAACUCACUGGGGCUUUCGCAAGAGUAAACAAAUACCCCGUAGUUGAACGACGUUUAUCUAAAUCACCAGCAAAGUCGGAAUCAACAUAUCCAACUACAAACUGACCAAGUGCUUCAUCCUGUUCAAAAAUUAAACCAACAUCUACGAUUUUUCAAAGAUACCGUAGAAUCCAUUUCACAGCUUGCCAAUGUCCUUUUCUAGGAUCAUGCAUAUACCUGCUCACAACUCCAACAGCUUGUGAAAUGUCAGGCCUCGUACACACCAUCACAUACAUCAAACUCCCAACUGCAUUAGUAUAUGGGACUUUCGCCAUAUAUUCUCUUUCUUCUUCAGUUUUCAGAGAUAAUUGAGCACUAAGUUUCAAAUGAGAAGCAAGUGGGGUACUUACAUGUUUUGUGUUUUCAUUUACACCAAAACAUUGUAAUACCUUUUUCAGAUAUUGCUUCUGAUUCAAACAAAGCUUGCCUCUCUGUCUAUCUCUACUUAUCUCCAUGCCGAGAAUCUUCUUGGCCUCACUUAGAUCUUUCAUCUCGAACUCUUGAUUCAACUGAGCCUUCAGCUUAUCUAUCUCUUUUUGGCUCUUCGAAGCGAUUAACAUAUCAUCAACAUACAAGAGUAGAUAAAUGAAAGAUCCGUCAUGCAGCUUCUGCAAAUACACACAAUUGUCAUAUUUGCUUCUUGUGUAUUUCUGCCUUCUCAUAAAGCUAUCAAAUCGCUUGUACCACUGCCUCGGGGAUUGCUUCAAUCCAUAUAGCGAUUUGUUAAGCUUACAAACCCAAUUUCUACCACCAGCAUCUGUGUAUCCUUCUGGCUGAGUCAUAUAGAUCUCCUCUUCUAACUCACCAUGCAAGAAAGUCGUCUUAACAUCAAGUUGAGCUAGCUCUAAAUUCAACUGUGCUACCAAGGCCAACAAAAUUCUAAUGGAGGAAUGCUUCACAACAGGGGAAAAUACAUCAUUGUAGUCAAUUCCCUCCUUCUGAGCGUAGCCUUUAGCUACCAAUCUUACCUUGUAGCGAAUAUCCUUCUUGCUAGGAGAUCCAUCUUUCUUUGCGAAUACCCACUUGCAUCCGAUUUCCCUUUUACCUUUCGGUAAUUGCGCCAACUCCCAAGUAUUGUUCUUCCGGAGAGACUGCAUUUCUUCAUCCAUGGCGCUUUUCCAUUUAUCACUUUCUAAGCUUUGCAUUGCUUCUUGAUAAGUGAUAGGAAUAUCAUCAACAACGGGAAGGGCGUAGGCCACCAUAUCAGUAAAUCGAGCAGGUUUACGAAUUUCUCUCCAUGGCCUUGCAACUGCAACUGGUUCUGGUGUACUUAGUGGUUCUUGGGUCAGAACCUCUUCAACCUCUAAUUCCUCCAUUGUGGCUGGAGAAUUAGACUUAUUAACUGGGCAAAUCCCCAUCUGCUCAAACUCCACCUAUUUUGGAGUACACUCCACCUGCUGUGGAGUAUUGCUCGUCUGAAUAUCUUUAUCUGCUACCUUUUUCAAUGUGGCAGAUUCAUCAAAGGUAACAUCUCUGCUACAGAUCAUUUUCUUUGUGCUUAAGCACCAAAGACGAAAUCCCUUCACUCCAGAAGUGAUUCCCAUAAAGAGAGCUUUUUUUGCCCUCGGAUCUAACUUUGACUCCUUCACAUGGUAAUAUGCAGUGGUUCCAAACACAUGUAAGGAAUCAUAAUCUGUAGCCGGUUUUCCAGACCAUACCUCCAUAGGAGUUUUUCUUUCUAAUGCAGAUGAUGGCAAACGAUUAACAAGAUGGCCAGUGUAUGUCACAGCCUCAACCCAAAAUUGCUUGCCCAACCCAGCAUUGGACAACAUACAUCAAACUUUCUCCAGCAAUGUUCGAUUCAUACGCUCUGCCACUCCAUUCUGUUGUGGUGUAUCCCUAACUGUGAAGUGUUGAACAAUACCAUACUCUUGGCACACAUCGAAGAACGGAUCACUUUUAUAUUCCCCUCCAUUGUCCGUCCUAAGCCGCUUGAUUUUCUUGCCAGUCUGGUUUUCGAUCAUAGUUUUCCAUUUAAGAAAAACUCCAAGCACUUCAUCUUUAGUUUUCAUGGUAUACACCCAAACUCUUCUGGAAAAGUCAUCAACAAAAGUAACAAAGUAGUGUUUUCCUCCCAACGAAGGUGUUUUGGAAGGCCCCCACACAUCUGAGUGAAUAUAUUCCAAAAUACCUUUUGUAUUAUGGAUAGCAGUGCCGAAUUUCACUCUCUUUUGCUUUCCCAGAACACAGUGCUCACAAAAUUUUAAUUUGCAAGCCUUUGCACCUUUCAACAAUCCUUGUUUUGCCAGAAUUUGUAAGGAUUUUUCGCUGGCAUGUCCCAACUUCAUAUGCCACAACUGCAUUGAGUCCAAGUCUUUGUUACCGGAAGCUGCAGCGACUGCUCCAAUAACUGUACUACCUUGGUAGUAAUACAAGUUAUUUUUCCUGAUGCCCUUCAAUAUCACAAGUGCGCCAGAUGUCACUUUCAAAACCCCAUCUCUCAUAGUAACAACUGAACCAUUGGAUUCCAAGGCUCCCAAUGAGAUGAGAUUUUUCUUCAAACUGGGCACGUACUGAACAUCAGUCAGAACUCUGGUUGAUCCAUCUUUAUUCUUUAAUUGGAUUGAACCUAUCCCAACAAUUUUACAGGCAUUGUCAUUGCUCAUAUAAACAACUCCUCCAUUUAGUUCUACUAAAUCAGAGAACCACUCCCGGUUAGGGGACAUAUGAUAGGUACAACCCGAAUCCAAUAUCCACUCAUCUGAAUGGAACGACGAUGAUGAUGCAACCAGUGAUAGUUCAGAGUCACUAGUAUCAUGCUUAGCAACACAAGCAUCUACAGCAGCUUUUCCCUUAUUCUUCAGCUUUGGACAAUUUUUCUUCCAGUGGCCUUUCUCAUGACAAAAAGCACAUUCAUCUUUCCCGAGUCUGGACUUUGACUUUGAUAUCCCCUUUUGAGUUUUCUUCCGAGUGUAUGAACGACCUCGGACUACUAAAGCUUCUGUAUCUCUGAUUGAGUUUUUCUGUUUGUCCUUCUUUCUCUGUUCAUAACUGUAUAAGGCCGCACAGACUUCGCUCAGAGAUAUAUCACUCCUGCCAUGAAGUAGAGUAGUUUCUAGGAACUCAAACUCCUCAGGAAGUGACCCCAACAGCAUCAAAGCCAAAUCUUCAUCUUUGAAUGUCUCAUCCAUAUUCAGCAAAUCAGUGACUAACUGAUUAAAUUUGGUGAUGUGAUCAUUCAUUGUGGUACUUACGUAUGUGAAGCGAAACAGUCUUUUCUUCAAGUGGAGCUUAUUUUGACUGUUUUUCUUCAAAAAAAUUUCUUCAAGUGCCACCCACAACUUAUUUGCAGAAGUCUCCUUUGAAAAAGCAUACAUCUGCUCUCGAGAAAGGCAUGAUCGAAUUGUGCCACAUGCCAACCGAUUGAUCGCCUUCCAAUCUUUCUCCUGUACAUCAUCUGGUUUCUCUUCAUCAAUGGCAAUGUCUAGACCCUGCUGAAAAAGGGCAUCUAGAACCUCACUUUGCCACAUACCAAAAUGGCCCGUGCCAUCAAAGAUUUCCACGGCCAAUCUUGCAUUUGCAAUUGUCGGUCUUGUCCACAUGGACGAUGUUGAAGCUCCUACACCGACCGUUUUCUCCAUAAUCUUUCAAUAUAUCUAAGGAAAUCUUUUCUGAUGUGGAAGAUCAGUUUAAACUGCAACCACAGAGCAUACUACGAUUAACCUUCGGCUCUUGAUACCACUUGUUGUUCCAAUAGGGUCGGAAGCGUGUAAAUUAUUGUACUAAAAAAUCACACAAAGUUCAAUUCCCAGGGAAGAGAGGUGGAUCACAUGGAUCUCUUAAAUACCAAGUCUUUCCUUAGACAGAAUAUCCCUUCUAUAGUAAUUUAAUAGCACAAUUAAAUACUACUAUUAUACCCUCAAAUAUUGAAAGAAAAAUAGGACAAAAAAGAACACAAGAGAUUUAACGAGGUUCGGUAAAUUAUACCUACGUCCUCGGGCACUAACACCAGAUGAUAACUUUACUAUCUCCAAAGUAUUACAAACAAAUAGAAUUUCUUAAGAAUUCUCAAAUGGGAGAAGAGAGAAAACUAAGAGAGAAAGAUUGGUUGGGAUGAAUUGAAAUGAGAAAUGAGAAGGCCUAUUUAUAGUUGAGGUUCAAGGACCAAACAAUAAAUAGCCCAUUAUCUCAAGGACCAAAAAAAAUUAUCCCUUGCCACUUUUCCAAAGUUGGUGGUUGUCAUUAUUGAUUGUCUCCCAUUAAUGUUAAUGGCAACCAUUAUUAAUUGUCUUCCAUUAAUGUUAACACAUUAUGGCAACAUAAUGUGCAGGAUCCGAAUUGGCACCCGUAUAAGAUGAUCAACAUCCGAGGCAACUUGCAUACACCGAUUGCUCAGAAAACCGUACUGUUAUCAAACAUCUGUUGUUCUACGAAAUGCGAGCUGGUUCAUUACUCAAAACUUACAUAUUAAUGGGAUGCCUUCUCGGUAAUGCAGGAAAUAAUAGACAAGGAUGAUGAGAAGCUGAAGGAGUUGAGAAAUGAAUAUAGUGACACAGCGUACGAGGCUGUCAGCACCGCACUGAUGGAAAUGAACGAAUAUAAUGCCAGCGGAAGGUAUGCGAUCCCGGAAGUUUGGAACAGAAAGGAGGGAAGGAGCGCUACCAUGAAAGAAAUCGUUCAGUACGUCGAGCAACUGAAGAUUCACAAGCGUAAGCGAUUUUCUUAAUGCUGAGCUUAGCAGUCCAUUGCUUUCAUGGAAAAUAAGUAGAAUUAUACACAAUCCUUAGGUAGGUAUUAAAUUUUAGAAUUAUAUUUGACAUUAAAAAGAGCUAUUUGUUCAUUCCAGCAUGAGCUCCAAAAUUAGGCUCCAUAUUUACAAACCUAAAUUAAACUUACUCCAUAUUUACAAACAGAAAUUAAACCUACCUACGAUAGUUGCAUAAAAAAAUAUUAUCAAUUUAAAAAAAAAAGUAAUUAAGUUGUUGGUAUUUUUCAUUUAAUUAAAUACUUCACUUUUUAAAAUGUAUCAAAAACUUUCUUUAAAUUUUAAAAAAUAAUAAUUAAAUCUUUGUUUUUCUUUUACAUACUCAAUGGCUACUUCAACUAUCAAAAAAAAAAAAAAAAGAAAAGACUUUUUGACAAUUAAAAGUAACUGCUUUAAUUUUUUUAGUUAAAGUCAUUCAGCGUCACAACCAUACAGGCGUGAUGUGUAAUAAAAAAUUAUAAAAAAUAAAAAUUAAUAAAAUUAUUAAAUUCUAAUAAAAAAUAUAAAAAUAUUUAAAAUUUAUUUAAAAUGUCAUAAAUGUAUAAAUAAAAUAUAUUAAAAAUGUUAUUUAACCACUAACUUUAAUUGUUGACUAGUAAAGUCCAUAAUUUUUUUUUCAAUUAAAGCCAUCAUGUGUCGCAAUGCAAUGUGACCUGUGAUGAAAAAUUAUAAAAAUAAAAAUCAAUAAAAGUUACAGAAAAAUUAAAAAAUAUUUCUUUUGGUACAAUAAUUUUUAUAAUUUUUUUAUAAAUUUUAUAUUUUUAAAUUUUUAUAAUUUUCUUACUAUUUUAUAAAAUUUUAUAACUUUUGCAUUUUUUUAUAAUUUUAAAUAUUUUAUAAUUUUUAAAUUGUUUAUAAAUUUUAACUCUUUUUUAUUAAAAUUUAAUAAUUUUUUAACUUUGAUUUAUUUUUAUUUUUUUUAUAUUUUUUUACAUGUCACACUAUAAUUGUGACCUUUAGUGUUUUACCAAAAUAUUAGGAGUGGUUAAUUUUAACAUUCAACCGCUAAAAUUAACAAUCACAAGACUUUUAACAGUUCAAAUAUUCAAUUGGAUAAAAAAAUUUAUUAUUUAAUAAAAUAUAUUAAAAUAAGGGUUUCGACUCAAAUCAUGAUGAAUUGAGCCAUCGAACUUGAGAAAUUAAAAUGUGAACAGAAAUGGGCUCUUCAAAAACCCUUACCCGAGCCCAAGAAGAUCCCCCAAAAACCUUCAACUUAUAACCCUAAUUUGCCUCUCAACUACACUAUAAAUCCUAUCUUCAACAAGACUCAUUCAGCAUUUAUAUCUUCUAAAAAACCCUUCGUUCGUCUAAGGUUUCUCUUUAGAAAUUUUCUCUUCGCAGAGAGUAAUUUUUGCCUUCAUUUUUUUUUCUCUUUAUUUUCCCAUUUUCAAUCUGGGGUUUUUUCCAAAAUGAGUUAAAAAUCCAAUCUUUACACUAGAUGUGAACCCUAAUCACAUUUAUUUUAUCUGGGUUUUGAAUAAAAUCUACACUUGUUUGUAUACUUAUGAAAUAAAAGAACCAUUUUUAAUGCUUUGUUUCUUAACAAGAGUGCAGAAAUAAAAAGCUUGAUUUUUUGCUUCUUUUAAAACAAAGAAACCAAGGAUUAAGCAGCGGCCAGACAACCGUAGCGAUGAUAUCCACAGAUGAAGGGCUAAUUUCUUCUUUAAUCCCUUUUUUGUCUACUGAUUCCAUCUCACAUUUCGUUUUUUAAGUUUUUAGGGUUCAUCACUUUUGAAUUGAUUGAAAAAGCUCUAAUCAAAGUUGAAACUUGGUUAAAAAAUGGGUUUUUUUAUAUGAUUUUACCAUUUUCAAUGCUUUUUUUUUAUGUUUUUUCAAUUUGUAAAAUCAAAUGAGAAACAAUCUCAAAAAAGAAAAAACGACAUUAAUCUAUCAAUCAAUCAAACUGAUUUUGAUUUGAUCAGAUAAAAAAUCAUUAAAUAUCAUAUUCAUGGGAAUUGCAGAGGUUUACUGUUGUAAUUCUUACGAUAUUUUAUCAGAUAUAUUUUACAUCUUAAUAUAUCAUUAAUAUAAAGUCAAAUUUUUUUAACAGGUUAUAUUUUGAUAUUAGUCCCUAUAUUUUGUUGAAGUUAUGAAUUUAGUCUCUAUAUUUUUUAAAUUUUAAUAUUUUAGUCUUUAUUAAAUGAUAAUUGUUAAAAGUUAAAGUUUUGUUAUUUUUAAAAUCUAUUGCAUCAAACAUAUUAUCACAUGCUCAAUGUCAUGUCAACUUGUUAUUUUCAUGUAUUCUUUACUAAAAAUUUAAGGGUAAAUUAUCAAAAUAGUCACUUUUGUUUGACUCAGGUUACAUUUUAGUUACUUACGUUUGAAAUGUUACGUUUUAGUCACUUAUGUUAUCACGUUGUAACAUUUUAGUCACUGAGCCGUUAGUUUUUGUUAACGGUGCAACAGUAAACUGAUGUGGCACGUUAAAUCAUCAUUUCAAACAAAAAUUCUAGGUUAACUUAUACAAUCGGUCCUCAUAUUUUUUCGUUUUGAGCAAUUUAAUUUUUUUCUUUUAUGUUUUUUUUAACUUUCUUUCUUUUCCAUUCUCUUAUGCUUCUCUCUUUGUUUUCCUCCCUUCUCCAUUUCUUUCAACGUAGUUUUUCUAUGUUUUAUUUUUUUGAACAAUUUAAUUUUUUCGAGUGAGGCGAGCUUGUGGACUAGUUACAAAUGGAAAGCAUAGAAAAACUAUGUUAAAAGAAAUAAAGAAGGGAGGAAAAUAGAGGGAGAAGAAUAAGAGAAUGGGAAAAAAAGUUAGAAGAACAAAAAAGAAAAUUUUUAAAUUGUUGAAAAUGAAAAAAUAUAGGAACCAAUUGUAGAAUUUAACCUAAAAUUUUCGUUUGAAAUGAUGAUUUAAUGUGCCACAUCAACUUAUCGUCCAUUGUCGACAAUUAACGACUCAGUGACUAAAAUGUUACAACACGAUAACGUAAGUGACUAAAAUGUAACAUUUCAAACAUAAGUGACUAAAAUGUAACCUGAGUCAAACAAAAGUGACUAUUUUGGUAGUUUACCUAAAAUUUAAUUAAUAGAUUAACAACUGUUAUUUGAGUCGAAACUAAAAUAUAAAAAAUUACGACUUAAACUGAUCCAAUUAAAACAUAUGGACUAAAUCUACAACUGUGCUUACAAUACAUAAUUAGCAAUUGAAUUUAAACAAUUAGAUUUAACAAUAACUAUUUGUGUUAAAAGACUAAAAUUUAAAAAAGUACAGAGAGUAAAUUUGAAAUUUUGACCAAUUUGAAAAGUACAGAGACUAAAACUAACUAAAUUAAAGUACAAUGACUAAAUCCAUAAUUUUUAUAAAGUACAAGGAUUAAUAGAAAAUUGUAACCUUUUUAAUAAAGUAAUUUUGAUUUUUAUUAAUUUAUUUAUAUCUUUUGCUUUUGUAAAUAUAAUAUUUUUAAAUAUUAUUUUGAUUUUUUAUUAUUUUUCAAAAGUUUUUACUUUUAGAAUGAAUGGUCUAAUUUAACCUUCAGUCCAAUUCUUACAAAAUUGAUAAACACUAACAAUGCAUAAUUUAAUAAAACUUUUCAAGUAAUUUAUAAAAAAACACUCAAAUUAAGUAAAUUAAACACACAUUUCAUUUUAAAUUAAAAUUAUAAAUAUUUAUGUGUUAAAAAAUAAAAAUAAAGUAUCAUCGAAGCUGCGGGCUGCAAUCUUCCCAAGCAACUUCAGCCCCCAUUACUUCCCCACUCUUUUUUUUCUCUUUUUACCAACACUCAGAAAAUCAAAAUUUUACCACACUUUCCCUCAUUUUCCCGGAAAAUAAAAUAAAGAUAUUAAAACCAAACAAAAAUCCAAAAAAGGAACUCGGUGAAGAUUUAGAUUUAGACCCUGAAAUUUUUGCCAGUGAAAGUUUGACCAAAUUGCCAAUGAGAAGGGACAAUGUUCCACGAAGUAGAGGUCCGAUGGUCGCUGCCGGUGACCCUAGACGACAGAGAUUGGCCGACUAAAACGGCGUUGGAUUGCCAGUUUUGGCCUCAGUUUCGGCUCAUGCUCAUCCACUCCGUUUUCGACCCUUUAAUGCUUGCUUUCACGAUAUCGCCGGCGCCGGCCACGUUUGUGAUUAGGACCAAGUUGAAGUAUCGGAAACCGUUGAUUGUGAAUCUGAUUCCUCCUCGUUUCUGGCAUGGCACCCUGAAGAAUCAUACGAAAAAGGAAAUGAAGAUUGGGUCAAAUCUAUUGACACUAAUUGUUGAAGUUCGAAAAUCGGUCUAAUAUUUAAGAAGGUAAAAGCGUUUGAACGGGAUGAGAUCAUCUCAACAUAUUGGUUAGACCGCGAAUCGAUUAAAAUAUCGGAGAAAGUAACUUGAUCAAUUAACUCGAAACUAAUACAAAUCAAGAAAAUUACUAGACAAGUUAACUCGGGAUUUGAUACAUCUAAGUUUGAUUUUUAUUAUAUAUAAUUUUAAUUUCGGUUUUAAAAAUAAAAAGCUAAGGGAAUAUACCUUCUAAAAUAGAGAAUAAAAGGGGCGCAACUGGCUAAUCCUUUGUUCUAUUGGCUAUUGCUAAUGCCUUGGAAGUUGAAAGUGUACCUUACUUUGAUUAGUGAAUGGCCGAAUAUGCUUACAAGAAUAAAUUAAGAAAUUCAACGUGGCUUAACAUACAUUUGUAUUUACUGUCACAUGAAUUUGGAUAACAACGAUUGAGAUGGAGAGAAAAAUCAUAUCCAAUUAUGUUUAACACUAGCAUUACGUACAUAAGCUCACACCGACUGAAGAAAACUUUACAUAUACAAGUAGAAGAAAUUUCCGAAUGAACAAAGUCAGUCUUCGCAUCCUAGUUGUUGUUCCAUUCAAUCUCUGUAUGCCCAAAAGAAAAUGAGAGAAAACAAUUACUACGACUAAUGACAUUGUUGAUAACAGGAAAUAUCAUUGUCAGAGAAUUCAAGACUCAAGAGGGAGCAUAUAUAAUUAAUCUAUACUAUAUUACCAUACAUAUGCCCUCAAAUAUUUUUAAAAUUAAUCGUUCAAAUCUAAAUAUAUAUUUGAAAAGAGUAUACGAUAUUAUAAAGGAUCGUAAAAAUCGAAAUAAUAUUUAAUUCUAUAUCGUCUUCUAGAAAGAACAUGAGCUAUGGUGAUAAAAUAUUCGAAUUAUUCCUCUAAUCUCAUUUAUAUCAUAAUUUAAAUUUGAAGAACUUACGAGUAUCGAUGAGAAAACCCACAGGGUCUUUAAUGAGGGAGUUGUUUUAAUUUCUUGACUUAAAUUCAUUGAUUCUAAGGAAGCCUUUACAAACAGACAUAAUUAUUAAUUGAUCCAAUUUCAACAGCAUAAAGUAGGAUCAUAGGAUAAGGGCUUAGACAGAAACAACUUUAUUCUUUUUCUUUUAUGAGCGAAUCCAAAAAUUUUAUGUUGGGAGUUGUUUUUCCGCAAGUGGUGGGAACGGGCAUCAAUUAUUGCUUAAAAGUUAAGCUUGUAAUUUACAAUCAAGGCAUCCAUCAUUUUCUUCAUCCUGGUUAAUGAUAAUUCGAGAUAAAUGUUCCAUUUCCAGUUAAAAUAAAAAUUUUCUCAAGUUAAUUGUUUGAGGAGUAAAUUUAAAAAUAAUAAUAAGAUUGUUUUCUAAAUUAUAAAAAUAAAGAUACAUCAAAAUUAAAAUUUUAAAAAUAUAAAAAUUUUAAAAAUUAACAUAGAAUACACAUAGAUUGCUAUGUAGGUUGUCGUGUUUAAAAAUUUAACAUUUUAAUUAGUAUUCUAGUUUUUUUUUAAAAAAAACAUCAUUUCAGCUCUUUUUCAAAACUAAUAAAUAAGAUUAGAAAACUAAAAAUCGAAUAAAGAAUCGAAUUUAACUAGAUGUUGAGGCUUGUUUUACACAGUUUCCUUAACACAAAUUUGUCCGCUUCUACGGUACUUGGAGAAACAUUGGUCGACUGUCUCCCAUGAUACAAUAACACGAUGACUGAAAUAGCAUCACCUUUACAUGAAAUUGGCUGAUAUUAUGACGAUACUAGGUAGCAUAGAUAUCAUUAUGGGAGAAGUGGAUCGUUGAAAUGAUAAUUUAUACGACAGAAGUAGAAUAUAUCAAUUCCUUUUACACAUUGGAAUCUUUAAAAGAGGUCUAUGGGAUCAUAUGGAUGUUGGUCCCUAUUUUGACUCUUGUUUUGGGAAUCACAAUAGGUGUACUAGUAAUUGUAUGGUUAGAAAGAGAAAUAUCUGCAGCAAUACAACAACGUAUUGGGCCUGAAUACGCCGGUCCUUUGGGCAUUCUUCAAGCGCUAGCAGAUGGAACAAAACUGCUUUUCAAAGAAAAUAUUUUUCCAUCUAGAGGCAAUACUCGUUUAUUUAGUAUUGGACCGGCUAUAGCAGUCAUAAGAGACCAAUGAACAAACCUUGCAUUUUUCUGUCACCGGAACGUUGGAAAAUAUAGAGAGGAAAAGAGAAGAAUUUUCGAGAGCAAAAUAAACUUGGUUUUAGAGAGUCUUUUAGUGUAAAAAAUUUGAAGAAUUCUUAAGCAUUCAAGAUGGAGGAAUUUUGGAAAUAUCCAUAAUUAAAUAUAUAAAAUUUGUAUUAAAUGAGCAAUUAAAUCAUAAUAUAUGUCUUUUUUAAAUUAGAUUUUAUAUAUAUUUGCUGAGAAAAAUAAAUUUUGUGUUGGGCUUAAAAUAUCUAUCCCUUUUUGGGCCUGACCAGUUUAGACAUUUCACGUUGCCUACGUCGUGCGAGUGCGCUCCAACCCCGAUGGGUUUGGAUCUACACCCCUGCGCGUGAGACAAAGUUUCAAACUUAGUCAUUCAAUCAUCCUUCAAGUGGGUUCUCAUAUAUAGAGACAUCUCACACUUGGUAUUCAAUCAAUGUGAGAUCUAAGCUUUUCUUUUCCUCAACAAAUAUUCACAAGUAACUUACUUUGAGCAUUAAUUUCUCACUUAUCACUCAACCAUUUUGAGCAUACGAUAUACUGUUGUAAAGAUAUCAUUGAGUAGAAUAUAAAAUCAUAAUUUUAUGAUUCAAUUCUCCACCUUUACCAAUUGAGAAUAUGCUUUAAAGUUUCCAAAAAUUACAAUUUUUUCAACAUUUUAUACAUCUAUUUUAAAGGCAUAAUUGAGCCAAGUAGAGCCCGAAUAAUGACAAGUUGAACUUGACUCGAACAUCACUUUUUAAGGUCAAUCUUGAUUUAGAACAUAAUUGAGUUGAUUAAGCUCGUUUAUCAAUUUUUAUAAUCAAACCCAUUCAUAAUUAAGCUCUUUCUAUAUAUCAAGGAUAAAAAUGUAACUUCAUAAAUAAAAAUAUAUUUAAAUGGAAUGCUUAAUUAGGUUUGUGGCCUACUUGAAUCAAGUAUUACAAUAUUUAAAUUCGACUCAACCAAUAGCUCGAGCUCUACUCAAUAAUUUUCAAUAAAAUUUUGAGAUUUUUUGAAUCCAACUCGAAUUGCUUGCAAAUAUUAAUGUAUCACUUAUGCUUUUAAUUUUAAAUUUACAUUUUUAAUUCUUAAAAUAUUAUUAAAACCCAAUCAAUUGAAGGCUUUGUAGAAAGUGGUGGCAAAGUGCAUCCUUUACUUUAGGUCUCACUAUAUCUAAAAAGAAAUUAAUGCGAACCGUAGAAAGUGGUAGGAAUGUGCAUCAUUAUUGCUUUAAAAGAAUUUAAAUCUUUAAACGGAUAGAAUUAAAUUUUCAUAAUUUGGAGGAGUUAAAGUGUACUUCUUUUUACUAUUUUAAAAUUUUAAAAUUUUAAAAUUUUUUAAAGAGUUAAAAUAACAUUUUUUAUUUUAAGAGGGCCGAGCUCCCUGUCAACCUCUAGAUUUACCUCCGUAAAUUUCAAAAUUCAGUUAAAUUAUGUUAUUUUGAAUAAAACGUUAAUUGAUAAAGAAAUUCUUUUAGUUUCAAAAAUUCAAUUUUUCUGUUUUAAAAAAAUAUAUAUUAAAAUUUAAAAUUUAAAAUAUUAAAGUAAUAAAAUUUAAAUAUAUCAAUGUCUUUUUGAUACAUGCAUGAAUGGGGUGAAACUUAUUAGAUUCCAAUCAUCAAAACUGCCAAUUUUCAGGCUCGGAAAAUCAGCAGACUUGCGGCGACUGGAUCCUGGUAUUUUUGGGUUGAGAUGUCUCAUGGCGUUUAAAGAUCUAUCUCUUAGCUUUGAAACGCAUUUUGAAUAACUCGAUUUUGAGUUCGGGAGCUCAAGUUAUGACCGUUUUAGUGAAGACUACGCGAGAAGAAUUUCUGAACGGGAUUAUGACGGGAAUUACAAAUUUCGGGCUUUUAAUUCGAGUUUAAAUCAUAUUGGAUUCGGGUUUUAGACUUAAUUUUUAUUAUAUAUGAGCCCAAUAUUAUAUUUGUCAGAUCUUAUUAUUUUAUUAUUAUUUUAUUCUAAUUUUUUUUAUAAUUAUUAAGUAUUUUAAGUUAUUAGAGUUCUAGUAUUUUAAGCUAUAAAGGCCAGAAAAAUGUAUUCUUGGGGGUGAUUUUUGAAGGUAAAAAAGCAACAGAAAAUCAAUACAAAAUAAUCAAAAAUUUCAAACAAAAAAAGAGAGAUUUAGAAGGUAGUUUUUUUUUCUCUGUUUUUGUUUGUUUUAUUUAUUAUUUUUUCUUUCUUUUUCUAAACAGAAACACAGAAAAUAAAACGGGACCGAAAACUCACCUUUUUAGAGGGAGGGCUGAGAGAGAGUUGAGCAAGAAGAGAAGGAUUUUUUUUUUAAAAAAAUGAGGUUACCAAUGAUUUUUUAAAGUUUUUUUAAAUUAUAUAAACACCCCAAAACGACGUCGUUUUGAGUUUGGCUUCUGACACUUAAAACGGCGUCGUUUCACCCUUGACCCGCGUGCGACCUGACUCGCUCCAUGGGGAUCCUCGUGUUUUCAAUUUUUAGGCUAUUUACGCCUCUGGUCAUCCCGCGUUUUCCGGUUGUUUUAAUUUAGUCCCUUUUUUACUUUUUUUCUCUUUAUAUAUUUGGCCAUUGAUUUUGUGGCGUGUUUUAAUUUAGUCUCUGGCUCGCUAAAAAGGACGCGUGUCAAGGAGAUCGGGUUAUUUUCCCAUUUGGUUCUCGUUUGUUUUCGGGCCUUUCGAAUUAGUCCUUUGUUCUUUUUUUAUCUUAAUUUAUCCUGCUAAUUUAAUUUGAGUAGCAAUCGGGUCCUUUAUUCAUUUAUUUUUGUGUAUCUUUAUUGUGUAUCUUUAUUUAUUUUGCUUUAUUAUUUUUACUUUAUUACUCCUUUUUAUAUAUUUGUUUAAAAUUGGAUUGUGUAUAUGUUUAUUAGUUUUUUUUUUCUUUUGGUUAUCAUUCUUUUACUUUUUAAAUAUUUAAAUCUAAUAUUAUGAACAUUUACUUUAUCUAUUUACUUAUUUAUUUAUUAUUCUUUUACUUUUCAAACGCUUAAAUUUAAUAUUAUUUACAUUUGUUUUAUCUAUUAUUCACUUAUUUUUUCUUUUACUUCUAAAGAAAUUUUAAAUUCGAUAUUAUUCGUAUUUGUUUUAUUAAUUUAUUUUUUAUAUUUCAAUUUAAUGAUAUUUGUUUUAUCUAUCCAUCAAUUUAUUAUAUAUAUAUAUAAUUAGAUACCACUUAUAUUCAUUAAGCAACUUUCAUUUUCAUUUAUAUUUUGAAUUAUUUUAUUUAUUGUGUUGUGGUGUUAUAAAUUGAUUUUUUUAUUAUUGCUAUAUUCACUGUUAUUGCCAUAGUAUUUGGUCAUUUAGUUGUCAUUUAGUAUCCUAAUAUAAAUCGUACUCAUAGUCAUAUCACAUUAUUUCAUUACCAUUGUAUUAUACACUAGGUUCACACAUAUUUAUCCAUUUUUUUAUAGACGAUGCCCGAAUUAAACAUGUAUGCCUUGUAAGUGUUACAUUAAUAUUUUAUUCGGUGCACAAAAAGAAAAUUAUUUUAAAUAAGUAAUAUUUCGUAUUUUAGAAUUCGUAAAUUCGUUCCUUAACUUACGGAGUUUCGAUCUUCUCGAUAAAUCUAAAUAAAUGAACCUUUUUUAAAAACAUAAGUUUUUAAAUAAUCUCAGGAAUUAAGAAGAGAUCGUGUUCUAACUUAAUGGAUAUGGUUUCAUUCUAAAACUGAGAUAAUCGAAUAUCUUUUAAAAUAAAUAAAUUUUCGGUGUUUAUUCUCGUUUCGAGGAUUUAAGGUAUUGCGUCCUAACUUACGGGAAGUAAUCCUUUUUCUCGAUUAACGUAAAAUAUUUUUUUGUAAAAAUUCAAUUAAGCGAUAUUGUAACAAAGGAUGGUAUUUUAAAUCUCUUUAAAGUUUUUAAUUUUCGACAUUAAAACAUUAAUUCAUCAAUUAGGUACCAAUUUUUGGCGAGACGAGUGUGCUAAUCUUUCUUCGCACAUAACCGACUCCCGAACCCGUUUUUCUUAAAUUUCAUAGACCAAAAUCAUUAUUUAAGUAAAAUCGAAACGUUUUAUUAAAAUGAUUAAAUUACAAGGUGAUCCGAUCACAUCUCGAAAAAAUAUCGGUGGCAACUCCAGUUUUUUCAUUUUCAUUUUUAAAAUAAAAGUAGACCCCUUUUGUUUCAAAAAUGGAGAAAGUGUGUUCCUAUCUUUUGUCAGCUUUACCAAAAGGGAAAAUAAUUGGCGAUAGAAUGUUGCUUUCUUUUGUCAACUUUUUAGCUGUAUCCACUAAAUGAUAAGAACUGCAUUCUCAAGUAUUUGUGUUUCUUUAGGAUUCUAUUGUUUACAUCUCAAUUUUUUUUUUACAUUGAGUUGCACUUUGUCAAAUUACUUCUCGCAUUACUCUGUUAAGAAAAUUAUCUUUUCGCUCGUUCGUAACUACGAGAACUAAUCGCUGAAUCCUUCUCUUAUUCGUUGGAAAGGUACGCCAUCUGCUUUCAUUUUGGUUGAUUUGGUCUUACUUCUUGGUUUACAGAAGCUUUACUUUUUGCUCAUUUGAUUUGUAACUUUUUCUUCUGAUUUUGUUUUAAUCUUUGUUGUCGCUGUGGUUAUUCAGUUUACUUCUUGUUUGACCUCUCAAUGGAGUCUGUUACUACCCUAGUUGGCUCUAUUGUCACUAAAGCUGUAGAGUAUACGAUCUCUCCUAUCAAAAACCAUGUCAAAUACCUUUCCAAUCAUCAGCAAUAUGUUGAGACCCUCAAGGACCGAGCUGAGAGGCUGAAAGAUGCAAGGGACAGAGUGCAGCAUUCUGUUGAUGCAGCUCAACGAAACGGUGAAGAGAUCGAAGGGGAUGUUGGCAAAUGGUUGUCUGCAGUCGACAAAAAGAUUCUUGAACAAGCAGAGAAAGUGAUGCAAGAUGAAGAAAAAGCAAAGAAAAAGUGUUUCAUUGGUUUGUGUCCUAAUUUCAGGACUCGUUACAAGCUUAGCCUGAAAGCCGAAGAGGAGGCAAAGGCUGUUGCCGAGCUACUUGAACAUGGCAAGUUUGAAAGGGUUUCCUAUCGUGCAGCUCCGCAAGGUAUCGUGGUUGCACCAGUUAAAGGUUAUGAGGAAUUCGAGUCAAGAACGUCCAUUUUCAAUGGAAUAAUGGAGGCACUAAAAGAUGAUAGCGUCAGCGUUGUUGGGGUGCAUGGUAUAGGUGGGAUUGGAAAAACAACGCUGGUCAAAGAAAUUGCUAGAAAGGUCAAGGACAAGUUGUUUGAUUCGGUUGUCAUAGCAACCGUAACUCAAGCCAUCGAUAUUGAGAAGAUUCAGAACCAAAUUGCAGACUUCUUGGGCUUGAAAUUUGAGGAACAGAGUAUGGUUGGAAAGGCAUUUCGACUACGAGAAAGAUUGAAGAAAGAGGAGAGGAUUCUGGUUGUCUUGGAUGACAUUUGGGGAAAGGUUGAUAUUGAGGAAGUAGGGAUUCCUUUGGGAGAUGAACACAAGGGCUGCAAAUUACUAUUAACUUCUAGAGAGCUCAAUGUUUUAUCAAAUGGGACGGAUGCUCAGAAAAAUUUUCCCAUUGGGUUUUUAAAUGAAAAGGAAGCCUGGGACCUGUUCAAGAAGAAGGCUGGCGACUGUGAUGAAAGUUGCGAUUUGAAGCCUAUAGCUAUGGGGGUAGCCAAAAAAUGUGCAGGACUGCCGAUAGCUAUUGCGACAGUUGCAGGGGCUUUGAGAAACAAAAGAUUGUUUGAAUGGAAGAAUGCUUUACGAGAACUGGAGAGGCCUUCGUCAAGCAACUUCACGGGGAUAACUGCGGCAUAUUCAGCUAUAGAGUGGAGUUUUAAUUAUUUAGAAAGCGAGGAAGUUAAGCGGACUUUCUUGCUUUGCAGUGUAAUAGGCCAUAAUGGUCUCGUUGAGGACUUGGUAAGAUACACUCUAGGUUUGGGUUUAUUUGAUGGUGUCAACACUAUGGAAGAAGCUAGAAAUAAAGUAUUGACGGUUGCGGCUAAUCUCAAAGCGUCUGCCUUGUUGCUUGAUAGUUAUAAUGAUAAGCGCUUUGAUAUCCAUGAUGUUGUUUGGGAUGCUGCUAUAGCUAUUGCAUUGAAGGACUACCGUAUGCUUGUUUUGAGAGAUCAUGCUCCAAAGGAGUGGUCCGAUAAGGAGAAAAUGAAGACGUGGAGUGUGAUCAGCUUACGUUGUCCUCAGAUUAUAGCUAACCUUCCUAAGGAGAUGGAGUGCUCAGGACUUUCCUUUUUCCACAUGGCCUAUAAUGGCGCGGUUAAAAUUCCUCUCAAUUUCUUCAAACAAACCGUAGGCCUGAAAGCCUUAGAUUUGGUCGGAAUGCAGUUUCCAUCCCUCCCUGAAUCAAUUAUUCACCUUGCAGAGCUUCACAUGUUGUGUCUAAAAGGAUAUGCAGUUGAUGACAUAACCAUCCUUGGAGAGCUCAAGAGUUUAGAAGUACCCAACCUUUCUCGCUUAGGUAUCAAAGAACUACCUAAGGAGAUGGCACAAUCGACUCAAUUAAGGUUGUUAGAUUUGCGUGGGUGUAGAGAACUCAAAAUCAUCCCACCGAAUGUCUUAUCAGGUUUGUCUAAAUUAGAAGAAUUAUAUAUGAGUAGGAGCUUUGUUGAAUGGGAAAAGGGAGGAGUAGUUGAAAAUGAGAGGAAAAAUGCAAGCCUUGAUGAAUUAAACAAUUUGCCUUGUCUAACUACUUUAUAUGUUGAUAUUCUUGAUGUCCAAAUGAUACCAAAACACCGGUUUGUAGAAACAUUGGACAGAUUCAGGAUUUUCGUAGGUAAUUAUGGAGGAUAUAAUUGUUGCCAGAAUUAUGAAUCUCCGAAAGCAUUGAAGCUCAAGUUAUAUACAAACAUUGAUUUGGACAAUGGGAUGAAAAUGUUGUUGAUAAAGACAGAAGAUUUGUGCCUAGAGGGACUUGAAGGCGUCAAGAAUGUACUUGUGGAGUUAAAUAAUGGGAAAGAUCUUUCAAAUUUAAAGAGAUUUCAUGUCAAAAAUGGUAGGCACGUCCAACAUAUCAAAAUGAACAAAAUUGGAUUUUCUGAAUUAUGCUUCGUUAAACUUGAAAAUCUACCGCAACUCGUUAGCUUUUGCUCUCCAGACGAAAGGUGUUCCACUAAGCCCUUAUUACUUUUCAAUAAACAGGUAUUUGUUUGGCUUUACUUAUAUUUUCUUAUACUACUUUUAUUUAUAUGCCCAUUAAUACUUCUAAUAGUAGAAAUAAAUAAUAUUGUGUAAUGGUUUCUCCGGAGCUCAAAAAUAAAUUUCAAAUCCAAAACAAAUUAAAAUUUAAUUUUUAAUCCAAACCGAUUCAAAAUCAAUUCAAUAAUCUAAAUUUAAAUCCAACAAUUUUUUUUAAUUCUGAGAAUAAAAUUUGAGCCCACAAAUCGAACUAAAAUUAUCUUUAAAAUAAAAAAUCAUAUUUUCAAAUUAUGUUACAUACUAUCUUUCCCUAUGGAAAAAGAAUUGUGUAAAUAUGUGCAAUUUAUUUUCCCUCACUUGGAAAGCUUGUAAUUGUGUUCCAUUAACACGAAAAGAAUAUGGCACAACCAGACAUGUCAUUGGGUUACGAAUUUGAGGAGCUUGAUCAUCAAAGGAUGCGGCAAGUUGGAGCAUCUGUUAUCACCCUCUCUCGCUAGAAGUCUGGUGCAGCUCCAAUGCUUUGAGAUAGAGGAUUGCAAUUGCUUAAGGGACAUAAUACUUACAGAGGAAAUUGAAGAAGCAAGGAAAGAUGUGAUUUGUUUCCCUCGAUUAAACUCCCUGCAUAUAGAUCGUCUUCCAAACCUCAUCUUCUUCAACUCAGGAAACCACAAUAUUGAGUUCCCAUUGUUGAAAGUGCUAAAGAUUCAGCGUUGCCCCAAGUUAAUAGAAUUCAUUAGUCAGAAUAGUAAUCAGUCCGGCAUGCACGCUCUCUUCAGUGAGAAGGUGAUUUAUUUCAUUAGUCUUACAUUCUUGCAUAAAUCUGUUGAUUUGUCCUUGUUUUUUUUUCUGCCUUCAUUAUUUGAGCUAACCUUAUCAUGGGCAUGGAUUAUAUAUAUAUAUAUAUAUGAAUAUAUAUGAAUAGGUUGCAGUUCCUAGCUUGGAAGACAUCAAUAUCUGGGACUUGAGUAAUGUGAAGAUGAUAUUUUAUAAUGACCUAGCACCAGGUUCCUUUAAAAAUAUACGAAAAAUAAAUGUUUGGGGAUGUGGGAGUUUGAAAAAUCUAUUUCCAGUAUCAAUAGCCAAAGAUCUUCCACAACUUGAACAUUUAAGCAUCACUGAUUGUGGAGUUGAGGAGAUUGUAUCGAAAGGGGAUGGAGUGGAGGAGCAGCCUGUGAGGUUUGAGUUUCCGCAAGUAUCUUUCCUUGAGGUUACAUGGGUAGAAAAGCUCAAAUGUUUCUAUGAAGGGCAACAUACAAUAGUCUGGCCGAUGUUGAAAAAAUUGAGAACAGAUAGUUCUGCUUUGCUAAAGAUAGUGGCAUCGGAACAUCUUAGAUUAAUCCAAGGAAAUAAGCAGCCAGUUUUGUUGGGUGAAGAGGUAUGUAUAUCAUUACAACUAUAUUUCAUUUUAUGAUUUAAACCACUGCCACAAGCAUCUCAAGUUGAAAUAUGCCACGAUAAUGCAUUUCUAAUUUUUAUAUUUUGUUUUAUUUGGAUUUUUUUUUCGUAUUUUUGAAUUUUCAAUAUAUAUUUUAAAUUUUUUGUUACAUUUAUAAUUAUUUUUUCAUUUUUUUUAAAAACAAGACUGAAUAAACAUAAUAAGUAAAUAUUGAGUGAAUGCAAUUCAAUUUAAUAAAAUGUAUAAAUAUUGAGAGUUAAAUUUAUUAUUAUGUAAAAAAAAAGCUUAAAAAAAUGAAAAUAUUUUAUUUGUUUUUAAGUAUCCAAAAUGAAAAUAUUUUAACACUAAGUGACUGUAUAUGUAAUUUACCCUGCAUUUAAGUAGUGGGUCAAAACUAAAUAGAACGUUUAAUUUGCUAAAAACAAUUGCCACUCAAUAAAAAAUCAAAACUUUAAAAGUUAAUUACACUAGACAUCUCAAACUAUGACCUUCAUUUUAAAUUAGUCUUAAAAUUUAAAAUAUUCUAAUUACAUUCUUAAACUAUUGAGGUUAUAUCAAUUACGUCUUUCUCUUAUUAAAUUCGUUAAUUUAACCAUCAAAUUAAAUCAAUGUAAUAUUUUAAAACCUUGGUGUUUUAUCUCCACUAUUCUGCUUAUAUUUUUUGUCAUAGAAAAAUAUAUAUAUAUAACAAUGGUUGUUUAUCUAUUUUAAUCUAGAUUUGCUACUCUUCUUUCGGCUUUCAUGUUCUGUAAUUUUUAUCAGUUUUUAUUCUCAAGGUAUUGUGUUUUCUUAAAACAAAAAAUUCAUCUACUCUGGAUUCAUUUGAUUUAAUAUUGAUUUUGUUGGGAUUUAAUCAUCAAAAUCAAACACUAAAAUUGUAAAUCUCUUUUUUUUGUUUGUUUGUUUUUUUAAAGCAUAUACAUCAACAUUGAGCCUAACUUGUAUAUGUUUAAUUGGUUUCCAAGGUCAUUCCCAAAUUAGAGGAACUUGAGUUACGAAAUUUUGGUGAUAUGGACCAAUUUCCACCAGACUUGUUUCAACAUAUUAAAGUUUUUGCACUGAGUGGUGGCUCUCCAUUUUCUUUGUUUCCUUUCGUCCGAAGAUUCUACAAUCUGAAAAGACUUGAGGUUUCUAAUUUUGAUUUCAAACAUGUAGUCCCUUGUAAAGGAGACGUCGGGACUCUCCCAUCAAUUAGAAAUCUGAAAUUGGUUUCUGCCAGAAAUCUUAAGCGUAUUUGGAGGAAAGAUUCGGAGCUUGACCAUAUUCUUUCUGAUCUUCAAACACUCACAAUUCACAAUUGUGAUGAUUGGAUAAACAUUAGAGUCUUCUCAUCAUCUUUACAAAAUCUCACAAUUUUGAAUGUGUCACUUUGUAAAAUGAUGACAAACUUAGUUACACCCUCAGUACUUCAGAAUCUUGUGCAAUUAACGACAAUGAUCGUAAGAGGGUGCACUAAAAUGACAGAAAUAGUGGGAAACGAGGGAGACUGUCAUCAGACAAUAGUUGUUAGUAAAUUGAAAUGUUUACAACUAUGCAAUUUGAAGAGCCUCACAAGCUUUUGUCCAUGGUAUUACAACUUCGAGUUUCCUUGUUUGGAAGAAUUAGUUGUGGAACAUUGUCCUUGGUUAAAGAUCUUUUCUGAGGGAGUUUUAAGCACCCCACAAUUACAGAGAAUAAAACAGUCGCAUUACGGUGAGAAAUGGAGUUGCAAGUGAGAGUGGUGAUGCAAGUGAAAGCGUGGUUGGCGAAGGGGGCAUCUAUGAUAACACUGCAACUUUUUUCAGCAAUAAGGUAAGUUUGGUAUUCAAUAUUUAUCUGCACAACUUAUUUCACAUUUUCUUUUGAUUUGAUCAACAUGAGUGUGUCUGGUCUAUAUAUACAUACUAGUGCUACACCUUGUCAAAAUUGAAUAUAAUAAAAUCCAUAAAAAUAUUAAUAAAUAAGACAAUAUUUAAAAGAAAAACUGGAGUUUAAAAGUAUAAAUAAAUAUAUAAAAUAAGAAUUGAAGGAAAAACUUAAAGUGAAAUACUAAAAAACAAUAAGAAUUUAAGAGAAGUUUAAAAUUAAAUAGUAAUAGACAAUAAAUAAUAAAAUAACAAUAGAAAAAAGAAAACUAAUCUUCCUUUAUUUUAAUUUGUGGGUGUAUAAGAAGGAGAUAAUUGUGGAAGACCUUCACAAAGGUCAUUUGAGAUCAAAGGAGAAGAAGCAUGAAAACAAAAGGUGAGGAGUUUGAAGAAGAAAGAACCAAAUAUAUGGGUUUGAUUUAAAGAUUUAAUGUUUUUUUUUUAAUUUCAUAUAUAGAAAAAAUCAUUGAAAGAAAAAAAAAGUUCAAUAUAAUUACUUAAAUUUACCUGUCGGUUUUUAUAAAAGUAACUUAAAUUUUUGAUUAAUUAUGAAAAUGACUCAAUUUAAAAAUUAUGUACAUAAAUUAUUCGAUUUCUAUAGUGUUUGUCGGUGCCCCCAGACACAAUGGCGAUAUCAGACUGAAGUGUGAUUAUAUAAAAUGAUUGUAUUUAUGUACAUAAUUUUUAGUAGUGUUGUUGGAAAAAUUGGCGAUAUCAGACUGAAGUGUGAUUAUAUAAAAUGUUCAUGGACUUAACGAAGUAAUUACCCUUUUUUAAUUAGCGGAAAAAGGGGUCUUCCGGUGAAUAUGGGGCACCAAAUUAAAUGAUUUUCAUCUUUUGGUCUAUUUGCAUGUUUCCCUUUUUGAAAUUAAAUUUAGAUAACCCUUAAGAAAUAUAAGAAUAACAAAAAGAAAUCAUUCUCAUUUAUUUUAUUUUAUUUUUAAAAAAUAAACUUAAAAAAUUAUAUAAAAUGCUUAUUUAAAUUACCCAAAUAUAUCCCUCACACAACUUCCUCAAGUUUAUCUAAAUUCAAGCAUUUUCAAUUCAUUCCCUAGAAUAUUUAAAUUUAGAUAAACUUAAGGAAAUUUUUUGAGGAAUAUAUUUGGGUAAUUUGAAUAAGAAUUUUAUAUAAUUUUUUAAGUAUUUUUUUUCAAAAAAAAUGAAAAUGUUAUAGUUUUGUUAUUAUUAUAUUUUUAAGUGCUAUUUAAAUCUAACUUCAAAAGAGGACAAACGUAACAUGCAAAUAGGUCAAAUGUUGAAAAACAUUUAAUUUGGUUCAGAUACCAACGACACCCCUUUUUCAACCAAUCUAAAACCGUUAACCGCUUCAAAAGAUCCCUGCACGUUUUAUAUAAUCACAUUCAGUCUGGUGCCGUCAAUUUAUUAGGCAAAACCACUACAAUCUUUUUUAAAAAGCAAUCAUUGGCUGAUGAUGGAGGUCAAUGCAAUAAGCACGAUAGAUAUCAAGUCAUUUACGUAUAUGAUUUUUAAGUUGGAUCAUUUUCGUAAUUAACCAAAAAAUUUUGGUUACUUUUAACUGCCUAGUUGAUAUGUGAAUAUUAACCUUUAGAUCAGUUUAUAAAUCUUCAUACUCAUCUACUCAUUUUGAUUGUCUUUCAAAGUACAGAAGGAAGACUGAUACUAUCUUAUAAUAAUAUUUAUGUCAACAGGUUGUCGUUCCUCGUUUGGAGCGUCUGGAUUUGUCCUCGAUCAACAUUCAUAAGAUAUGGCACCACUCAUCCUCCCCAUCUAUCGGAUACCUAAAUUUCUUGCGGGUGAAGAGGUGUCACAAUUUGAAAUACCUGUUCCCGUUUUUCUUAGCAAAAGAUCUUGAGCAACUCCGAUUCCUUGGAAUUUUGGACUGUAAUAUGAUGGAACAAGUAAUAUUCACGGAUGGAUUGGUUGAGGAACAUCAAGGGAGGAAUCAGAUGUUUUUCUUUAAUCUACAUUCGCUGUGGCUAAACGACCUUCCCAAAACUCACAAGUUUGUGCUUUGAAAAUUACUUUGAAUUUCACUGUUUAGCAGAUUUAACACUAAGAAAUUGUCCAUUGCUAAAAACAUUCAUCUCUAAAUGUGUACCCGGAGAUGAACCUCAAAUUGGCCAACAUGUACAGGCAAGUAACUUGGAGGUUCAUAACUCAUCUCUCCUCAAUGAAAAGGUAAUUUCUUCAAGGAUCCUCCUUUUAAUUUAUGUUACUUCGAUUGAUUUUAUUCAUUUGAAGUUCUUUCUUUUUCAUACAUAUUUCAGUUAUUAGCCUAAUGAAAUGAUUUAUUAGAUUGUUUUCUCUAGUUUGAAGUACUUGUCGAUUCAGAAUUGUGAUUCGUUAGAAGAAAUUAUUGAGCUGGAAGGACUCAUUGCUGAUGAGUCACAGUCAACAUCAGCUGCUCAAUCUACUGUGGCUGAAACAGUGACGACCAAGUUUGUAUUUCCCAAACUAAUAAACCUUGGAUUGGAUAAGGUGCCAAGAUUGAAAAGUUUCUACUCUAGGAUGCAUACCACCCAGUGGCCUUCAUUGAAACGAAUGAGCAUUAUUGAAUGCCCCAAAGUACAGAUAUUUACUCGACAAUGUCCUGUGAGUCAGGUUGGAAU
RNAcentral lists this long non-coding RNA (42968 nucleotides) under Gossypium barbadense (sea-island cotton). RNAcentral's name for it is "long non-coding RNA (GBAR_LNC020362)". The stretch from base 25307 to 25464 matches the Rfam family "small nucleolar RNA snoR143". Lineage: Eukaryota; Viridiplantae; Streptophyta; Magnoliopsida; Malvales; Malvaceae. The record is from RNAcentral.